GACGAACCGAGCGAACGUUAUUCGGAAUCACUGGGCUUAAAGGGCGCGUAGGCGGGCCGUCAAGUCGAGGGUGAAAUCCCCCAGCUCAACUGGGGAAGUGCCUCCGAUACUGGCGGCCUCGAGGGGGAUAGGGGCAUGCGGAACUUCCGGUGGAGCGGUGAAAUGCGUAGAUAUCGGAAGGAACACCGGUGGCGAAAGCGGCGUGCUGGAUCCCUUCUGACGCUGAGGCGCGAAAGCCAGGGGAGCGAACGGG
This 253-nucleotide ribosomal RNA is filed under the name uncultured bacterium. Its description in RNAcentral is "partial 16S ribosomal RNA". It matches the Rfam family "Bacterial small subunit ribosomal RNA", at positions 524 to 776 of the family's 1533-position model. The record is from RNAcentral.